GUCUUAGUAGCUUAACAAAAGCCCUGGUCUUGUAAACCGGAGAGAUGAAAA
This 51-nucleotide transfer RNA is filed under the name Aspronema dorsivittatum (Paraguay mabuya). RNAcentral describes it as "partial tRNA-Thr". Lineage: Eukaryota; Metazoa; Chordata; Lepidosauria; Squamata; Scincidae. The record is from RNAcentral.